AGCUUAAAACAAUAAGUGUUGCUGGCCAACCGAAAGCGGUAAAUUGGAAGGCAAAUCAGUUAAAAUAAUAACAAUGGGAUGGCUGCAACAAUGACGCCGGUGGUAACAGCAACAACACAAAGAUAAACAACUCAUUAAAAGGAAAUUAAACAGCCGUGAACCAAAACGAACACCAUGUCACGACCCGUCACUCAUACGCACUGUUGUCUGGCCGUACGUGAGUGACGUUUCGCGGUUUGAUAAAGACACUCGUUACGCCUCCAGAAAAAAAAGGAAUUUCACCAAAAGGAAAUUGAAUAAGGGCAUUGAUAUGUAAAGCACUUUGGUCGAAAUGCAAAAUUUAAAUGACUUUAUCGUCUAUAAAUAAAUGGAAAUACAUUUUAUUUUAAUAUAGCACUUCU
Molecule: non-coding RNA, 401 nt
Organism: Drosophila melanogaster (fruit fly)
Lineage: Eukaryota; Metazoa; Arthropoda; Insecta; Diptera; Drosophilidae
Source: Ensembl